CUCAAAUUAGAUCAGAAUAAAGACAAGGACACAGAUCCUAUUCUCUUACCAUUUGGGGGUGUAAAUGAGUGGGAUCUUCAGCCUAAAUCAGGCUAGUUGCACCCAUUACGGGCCACGAGAUCUUACCCAGAAUAUCGCAAGGCAAGAAAAAGAUGAGAAAAGAGAAGAAAAGGAAAGAAAAGAAGCACCCUGACGUAGAUUUCGUUCCGAUUCUCUCCAUUCGCCGCGUCUCGGGACUGCUAAGAAAAUUUGACAAUGCCUCGAACAAAAGAAAAACAAUAAAAGAAUUGUUUUUGAUUGGUGGGGCUGGCUCGGGUGGUGAGAAUCGAGGAGCAGAUAUUCAACAGAAGUUUUGCAUGUGUUCCACUUGUCUGGCUUUGCCUUCUUGUUCUACCCUUUUGUUAGCACUGCGAGAAGAGGCUUUCUGGAAAGUGAAUCUUCACUAUACUCGUGAGGUGUAUUAUGGUUCUUGAUGUUUUCAAACAGUUCAAAGCAACUGAAGAACAACCAUCAUGGAAAAGAAUUAGAUA
Molecule: long non-coding RNA, 530 nt
Organism: Syzygium oleosum
Lineage: Eukaryota; Viridiplantae; Streptophyta; Magnoliopsida; Myrtales; Myrtaceae
Exons: 2
Source: RefSeq, a predicted model, not a curated record